AAAAAAUUAAAUUCAUGAUAAAUAUAAAUUAUUUACAUACAUAUGUGGAAAAUAUUCUAAUCAAAUGUAUAGUACAACUUAUUUUUCAUUUGGUUUUAUUAAUUUUUUUUUCAAAUAUAACUCAUUAAUAAUAAUAUGAACAAUUACAAAUAUUCAUAUAGAUCAGACAUAUAACUUUACUACCAGUAGCUAAUAGAAUUCGCUGAUCUUUUAACGAAACAAAAGAAUUUAUAUCAUUUUGAAUAAUGAAACUAAAACUAAAAAAAAAAAAUAUAAUAUUAGAUAUUUCCGCUUGGAGUUGAUCUUAACAAAAGAUAUAAAUAUUAUUAGCAACAACUAAAAAUAAUAAGUUCUCGGACCUUCUAUACCUUGAUUGUUUUUUCAAGAAUUUGCAAUAUAUGAUGAACACAUAUGAGUUUCUACCACUAUGCAUCAAUAGCAUGAAUGGAAGAAUAUAGCGUAUAAUCAGAUUCCAUUGAUCGAAGAUUCACACGUGCAAAUCACAAUCUAAAUUUUUCAACCAAAUAAAGUCAAAUAUCAUAUUUUGAUUUAGUAAUAAUCCUGAUAAAGAAUGGAUAACCCUUAUAAAUAAGUGACAAACAAACUCUAAAUAUGGAGACAAAGCAACAACAACAAAAACAAAUAAAAAAGACAGAUCUGUUAUAAGAAAAAUAGAUCUAAGUUCAUUAAAGCAAACAGAAGAUGAAAAAAAAGAAGGUAACCAAAAUAAGAGUAGACAGUGGUAGCCUCAAGCUAAAAUUAGGAUUAAAAGACUAGAAAUAAAAUAGAGCAACUAGGUUUUUAGAAUCUCCAGUUUUUCACUUGGUUUUAGUAAUUAAGUAUUGAAUAAUCUGAAAGAACAAUUUUUAAAAAUUUAAAACUAUUUAACAGUCUAUUGACUUAUUAGUAUAAGAUUUUAAGUUAAAAUUUUAAUUUUAUUAUUCUAAUUAAGUGAAGUUUAACUUAAUUGAGAUCUUUAAAUGAUAAAUGUAUAAAUAAGUAUUUUAGAAUAAUUUAAAAACAAAUACCUACUAAAAUUGUUAUCAAAUACCACUUUCAAUAAGAUAUUGAAUUGGAUAUAGUGUGAAGUAAUCAAAAAUACGUUACAUUCUCUUAUAUUGCAAUCAAAUUUUUACAUAUAGGAAACACAGAAUGAUAUGGUGAAAUUCAAAUUUAAAAAAUAAUGGUUUGAAAAUUUACUUCCUACUUUCUAUUUACUUCUUUCACGACUUUGGUCACACUACCUUAUGAUACAUAUUUCCACAGCAUUUAUAACCAGCAAGAUGGAUUCCCUGCCCAUGAAGGAGCUUGGAAAUUAGCUCUAUUAAUUUUGCUUGCAUGGUUAAUGGUUUUCAAUUCAAAAUCAAAUAAUUGGAAUGGAGCCAAUGUAGGGAAAAAGAAGAAAACAAAAAGAUAAAAGAUGUAGUAAAAAAGAAAUAAAUAUAUAGCGUAGCUUUUACUUAGACACACACAGAGCUUGGAGAUGAAGUUUGUUCUUCUUCUUCUUUCUUUUCCAAUUCCCUCUAAUGGGUUUUCAAAUUAGCAGUCAACAUCAAACCAAACGACUCACUUGGGUGCCGUUGGAAGGAUCCUUUCUUUACUCAUUACAUACAAAGUAAAAACAUUGUUUCAGUUGGAGCAACCGACCGGCAAAAUUAUCAAAACCAGAUUUAUGUAAUGUUUGAAAAAAAGAAAGAAAGAAAAGAAUUAUAAAAAGACUUGCAAGGAAAGCUAAGAUCUAGCAGUAAGGAUUGUCUUUGUAAUUGUACAGAUUGUAAGAAGAGAGAGUGUGUGUUAG
RNAcentral lists this long non-coding RNA (1798 nucleotides) under Jatropha curcas. Its description in RNAcentral is "long non-coding RNA (JCUR_LNC002980)". Lineage: Eukaryota; Viridiplantae; Streptophyta; Magnoliopsida; Malpighiales; Euphorbiaceae. The record is from RNAcentral.